Paramuricea clavata is the source of this 1662-nucleotide non-coding RNA. Lineage: Eukaryota; Metazoa; Cnidaria; Anthozoa; Malacalcyonacea; Plexauridae. The record is from the annotation of a GenBank genome assembly.
UGCUAAUGUUCUCCGACACAUCGGCUAUUCAAAUGUUUCUAAUUGUUCAAUUACUAUAAUAUAUAUUUCUGAGUUUUUUACAUAUUCUUGUUUGUGUAGGUUAUCGAAUGAAAAAAGACAAUCGACUCUGUCAACAGCCAGAAAGGUUGGUGAAAGGUUUCUCACUGAGUACCAAACAAAUGGUGUGACAGGACAGUCUAGCACGUGUGAGGUAUCUGGUAUUGAUAUGAGUAAAACAUACAAAGUAAACAAUAAACCUGAGCAGCCAAUCAAGAAGACAGGUGCGAGACGAUCGCUUGCCGCAAACUUGUCACAUAAGUAGUUAUGAUGGACCAUAUUAGGCCCACUGAACUGAAUAGAACUGGAACGCUACCUCCAACCGGAAAUUUGAAGCCAACUCGAAGACCAGUCCCAGUCUUUUCACGCAUGCAAAUACAAAUAGCACGGUCAAUCUUCGACAUGAAUUUCUUGAAAACCGGAUUAACCGUUUUUAACAGCGCACACAGCUUUCUAUUAAUUUAAUGCAUUUAUCAGGUAAGACUUCCUAAUAGACUUAAAACGGCAUCUGAACUGGUCUCGCGAGGCAUAAACACGCGGGGUUUUGAUUUGGCUUCAAGAAAAGUAUUUAUUUCAAGGUAGCGUUCCAGUUACAUUCAUUUCAAUGGAACAGGCUAAUAGACCUUAUGCGUAAUGACGUCACAAGGCUUGAUGCCCGCGAGGAAUGCUGGUCUUAGUAGCCCGGGAAAAUUAAACAAUGGCAUCGAAAUUUUCCUGGGCGAUGACUACUAAGACCAGCAUUGCUCGCGGGCAUCAAGCCUUGUGGCGUCAUUUUGCAUAAGGUCUAUUGGCAAACACAUGAUUCAUAUUGAAAUGCUUGCCGGCUACCUUUCUCCCAUUCUACGCUUACAUUAUCAGAAGAGUGGUAGCGUGUAACUUAUCUGAACAUGGGUGGCAGCGAAUAUUAAACAUACGGAAUACUAUAUUAUACAUAUAUAUGCAAGACAAUGUUUAUAUGACAGCAAACGAUUUCAGAACUGUUUAAAAACUAUAAGUGUUAAUAAUAUAUAUAUAUAUAUAUAUAUAUAUCUGGAGCGAGGACUCCAGUCAUUUGGCCAAUGAGAAAAGUGAAGCCAAAAUGGCGGCCAUUGACGUCCAAUAUCUAUGAAAGUCGCAAAAACUUUUAAUACCAUUUUUUCCAGUUAAUUCCAAACGGACCGUAUCGCUAACCAAGUUAUCAGUUCAUAAAACUAUUGUGUUAUUCUUUAAAUCAAUGUCAAAAUACGAAAUUUUACGCACACUCCUUGCAGACCGCGCAGACAAAAACAACAGAAAGGGACUGAAACUGACGUCCAAUAUAGCUCCAUCUUUGGCUUCACUUUUUGGUCUUGAGCUCUCACUCCAGAAAUAUUAUACACCUCGCUGGUUGUUCAUCGCUAUAGUUACACUGGAAUCCAACAUUCAAAAACUUAGUUCCUAUUUUGUAUCAAUUGCAUACGUAAUUGUGACAUGUCCAUGUACUACUCUAUACAGUACAAUUUGCCAGAAAAGAUAUUUAUAUUUCAAAAAUAAUAUUCCCCAAUUUUUUAUUCUCCAAGUUUUGUGUAAAAUAUAAACCCUUAAGGCUUAACUCAGUCAGUGUGCCCACAGGCGGCCCAGACGUGU